GAACAUUUGAUUAUUGAUUAUGUUUCAGGGAAUGAUAUUUCAGCCUUAGAUGGUUCAGUCCUGGUUUUUUUCACCAACUGAAAACAGCACACCUAACCACGAAGGGAAAGUUAUCCAAAAUUUAAAAGUAUGUGAUGAUUGUGGUAAAACUUUUAGAUCAAUACCUGGGCUCAGGGAGCACAAACAGAGGGAGCAUGGACAACAACGUUAUACAUGUGGGCAGUGUAAUCAAGGCUUUAUGUCCAAAACAUUAUUUAAGUCACACAUCCUGCAACAUUGCCAGG
Molecule: long non-coding RNA, 284 nt
Organism: Mytilus californianus (California mussel)
Lineage: Eukaryota; Metazoa; Mollusca; Bivalvia; Mytilida; Mytilidae
Exons: 2
Source: RefSeq, a predicted model, not a curated record